AUAUUGCAGAUCAAACGGAUUUGAGGUCAAAUCCUUUUCAAGAGGGAGGGGAUGAUAUGAUCAUGGAUAGCACUAAGGAUGUGGAGCAUGAACUGGAGCUUGAACGUGAGCUUGUAGCCGAGGAAGGAACUAAAGGAGCUAAGCUUGUAGUUGAGGAUGAGCUUAUAGCCGAGGAGGAGCUUGUACCCGAGGAAGCUUUGAUCGCACCAACUGGUCCAAUGACUCGUUCUAGAGUUAAGCUAUUCAACCAAGCCAU
This 256-nucleotide long non-coding RNA is filed under the name Arabidopsis lyrata. Its description in RNAcentral is "long non-coding RNA (ALYR_LNC001085)". Lineage: Eukaryota; Viridiplantae; Streptophyta; Magnoliopsida; Brassicales; Brassicaceae. The record is from RNAcentral.